RNAcentral lists this ribosomal RNA (559 nucleotides) under uncultured bacterium. RNAcentral's name for it is "bacterial SSU rRNA". It matches the Rfam family "Bacterial small subunit ribosomal RNA", at positions 120 to 674 of the family's 1533-position model. The record is from RNAcentral.
GGGAAACUGCCCGAUGGAGGGGGAUAACUACUGGAAACGGUAGCUAAUACCGCAUAACGUCGCAAGACCAAAGUGGGGGACCUUCGGGCCUCACACCAUCGGAUGUGCCCAGAUGGGAUUAGCUAGUAGGUGGGGUAAUGGCUCACCUAGGCGACGAUCCCUAGCUGGUCUGAGAGGAUGACCAGCCACACUGGAACUGAGACACGGUCCAGACUCCUACGGGAGGCAGCAGUGGGGAGUAUUGCACAAUGGGCGCAAGCCUGAUGCAGCCAUGCCGCGUGUAUGAAGAAGGCCUUCGGGUUGUAAAGUACUUUCAGCGGGGAGGAAGGCGGUGGAGUUAAUAGCUUCACCGAUUGACGUUACCCGCAGAAGAAGCACCGGCUAACUCCGUGCCAGCAGCCGCGGUAAUACGGAAGGUGCAAGCGUUAAUCGGAAUUACUGGGCGUAAAGCGCACGCAGGCGGUCUGUCAAGUCGGAUGUGAAAUCCCCGGGCUUAACCUGGGAACUGCAUUCGAAACUGGCAGGCUAGAGUCUUGUAGAGGGGGGUAGAAUUCCAGGU